RNAcentral lists this long non-coding RNA (3095 nucleotides) under Pelobates cultripes (western spadefoot toad). Lineage: Eukaryota; Metazoa; Chordata; Amphibia; Anura; Pelobatidae. The record is from RNAcentral.
CUGGCGUCUACGGUGCGCUAAGGUUGCCCCCUGUCAGUUAUUGUCGGGUUAUCCGACUUCUUUGCGGUCUGGGGCGGCUUUUUGUGCCUUUCUUCUCCGGCAAUGCUGGAGCCCCUGUACAGUGCGUCCGGACGGCCCGGCGGCCCGGCCCCGCCCCUAUUUAAACAUAUUUGUAUAGAUAAACUUCGAAAGAUGCUUUUGUGUUAUCCAAUAAAACUUUCUCUCUUAAAUUUGCGAGUUGUCUUUUGCUUUUUUUUUUUGUUGUAUAUAUUUAUUGUCAGGUUCUUAAGGUUAUGUUACAAAGUAUAGAAGGUACAGUGAUAAAGUAUACGUUGUAAAGUAUAUAAGGUACAAUGAUAAAGAAUAUGAGCGAGUAGUGCAUAGCACAUGUGAUAUGUACCGGCAGUGGCAUUAUGUUCCCGUUUGUUUUGUACAUUACGAAUGCGGUGGUCAGCAGUUUCGUGUUGGCAAAUGAUUUUAACUGUAUAACAGGGACUAGUAGGUCCCAACUUCUCAGCCAGGUCUGUGGCCAGCGUGCUGCUACGUCUGGGGAGGGAGGGGGGAGGGGGGGAGGUAAGGCGGGUGCUAAUUACCGCUGAAUAGUCACGAGGAGGGCCCUGAACCGUCUGGGUUCUCAUAAGGUUGUGGUUUUGCCUAUGUAUUUUGACCAAGGUUCCCAUGUGGCGACAUAGUGGGCGUAAUUAUCGUUUAGUGAGGCUGUCAGUUCCUCCAUAAUCCGUAUCGAUUCUACCUUCUGGAACCAAUCCCUCAUUGAUGGGGCCUUAGUGGCCUUCCACUGUAUCGGUAUGAGGAGAUUGGCCGCCGUUUGGUGAUGGGGUCUGAGAAUAAUAAGAAGAGCAUUGUCUCCAGUUUGAGUGGUACGUCCCUCCUUGUAAUAUUGUUGAUUAUCUCCCGUACUCUCUUCCAAUAGGGUUGUAUGGUUGGACAAUGCCACCAGAUGUGAGCUGUUGUCCCUCCUGUUUGCCCACAUCUCCAACAAAUAUCUAGUGUGUGUGUGGGAAUAUAUGUUGGAGUUUGGUGGGCGAAUAGUGCCACCUUGAUAUUCUCUUGUACGUGCUUUCUUGAAUAGCGGUGCUAACUGAAGAUCUCUGAAUGCUCUGGAAAAUGGUGCCCCAUUCCCCCUGUGUAAUGUUAGUAGAGAGUUCCCUAUUCCAUGUUUGGGUGUACUGUGGCAGGUGUCCUUUCAGCUCUCCUUGGAGCAACUUAUAGAAUAUCGAUAGAUGUUUGUUUUUGAGAGAUUGGGACGUGCAAUAUAUUUCAUAUGGUGUGAACGACCGGGAUCCUGUUGGUAGUGUUCGCGUGGAUCGUAUGAAGUGGGUCAGUUGUGCAUAUCGAAAAGUCUGGAGUGUCGUGGGCUGGUCUACUCCCAUUAGGGCGUCGAGCGGUUUGACUGAGCUUCCCUCUAAGACUGAGUGCAGUCUCAGAUAGGGCGUCUUUUGGGGUAGCUUUAGGAAGUCAAAUGAGUGGUUCGGUAGCCCUGGCUGGCACAAUGGGUUUCCUGUCAGGGGGCAUAGGGGGGACGGGUGGGGGGAUAUUGAGGUCCCCUGUCUCAUGUGUUUCCAGGUUUUGAGUGUGGGUGUAAUGGUGGGAUGGCUGAACUGGUGUGGGGUUAAGAAUGGAGAGCCAGAGCUGUGCCACGGAAUCCCGUGGAGCGGGGUUGUGAAGAAAGAUUUCUCCAGUUGCACCCAUUGUAGCUGCGGGCACGGGUUGGCCCAUUCAUAAAUCCUAGUGAGUAUGGUCGCUGCGUGAUAGAGCUCUAUGUGUGGCAUCCACAGGCCGCCUUGGCUUUUGGGUUUCGUGAGCGUGGUGAAGGCUAUCCUGGGAUGUUUGGUUGCCCAUAUAAAUUUGGUGAAAAGGUGCCUGAGUUUGAGGAAGAAUGAUUUGGGGAUGUGGAUUGGAAGUGUUUGCAAAAGGUACAACAGUCUUGGGAGCGUAUUCAUUUUUAGAAUGUUGAUGCGGCACAGCCAUCCGAAUUGGGGCUUGUGCCAUUUGGUCAGAUCUGUUUCAAUCUGUUGAAGGAGUGGGAGGAAAUUUAUAUUAUAAGUGGCUGCGAGAUUAUGUGGUAGGUGAACCCCUAAAUAUUUGAUAUCCGUUUCGGCCCACGAGAAUGGGUACUUCCUUCUUCAGUGUGAAUUGCAGUGGUUGGGAAAUUUCCAAAGGCAGGAUUUCGCUCUUGGAGAAGUUAACCUGGAAAUUGGAUAUCUGAUUAUAGGCAGCUAUUUCCCCCAGAAGCGGUUGCAUGGAGGUGCCGUGUGAGGUUAGCGUAAAGAGUAGAUCAUCAGCGAAUGCUGAGAUCUUGUAUUCCUGAUGUCCCACCUGGAAGCCUGUGAUGUCUGUGUUGUCCCUAAUCCCCUGAAGGAAUGGUUCCAUCGUGAUGAUGAAGAGGAGCGGGGACAGGGGGCACCCCUGUCUCGUGCCGUUUCGUAUGUGCACUGGGUCUGACAGUUGUCCGUUGAUUUUAAGUUUGGCCGUGGGGGCAGAGUAUACUGCACUGAGCCAAUUGUCCCAGUUUGGCCCAAAGCCCAUGGCUUGCAUUGUGGCUCUGAGGAGGGACCAGUCCACCCGGUCGAAUGCUUUUUCAGCAUUGACCGAGAGCAAGAGGCUGGGUAGGCAUUGGGAGUGAGACAGAUGGAUGAUGUUUAAGAGCUUCGUUGUGUUAUGUUUUGCCUCCCGUCUCGGGACAAAGCCCGCUUGGUCAGUGUGUAUGAGUUCGGGUAGCAGGGGCGCAACUGGUUUGCAAGAAUUUUAGUAAAAAUUUUAAGGUCCACAUUAAUUAGAAAUAUUGGGCGAUAGCUGCCACAACUUGUGGGGUCUUUUCCUGGCUUUGGUAAUAGUGUGAUAUGUGCCUCUAAAGCUGGGGCCGGUAGACUUGGGGCGUUGGUGAGGGAGUUAAAAGCUUCUAGGAAGGGGUCUGCCAGUUAUGUUUUUGAAUGUUUUAAAGUAUUUGGCCGUGUAACCAUCUGGGCCUGGGCUUUUCCGCAGAGGUAGCGAGCCCACUACUCCCAAGAAUUCGUCUCUCGUCAGAGGACCGUCUAGGGUUUGUAGCGCUCAACCAGGGAUCUUGUGACGCACCC